UUAAAUUUUAUUUAUUAAUUUAAUUUUUGUUUAUUUAGUUUAUUAAAAAUAAUUAUAAAUUUAAAAGUUUUAGUAUUAUUUAAAGAAAAAAUAAAUUUAAUUAUAAUGAAUUAGUAUUGUAAAAGAAAAUUGAAAUAAUUUGAAAAAUUAUUAUUUUAAAAGAAAAUUUAAUUUAUUGUACCUUGUGUAUCAGUGUUUAUUAAAUAAAAAAUAUUUAUAUAUUUUUCUCGAUUUUAAAAGAGUUAAUAUAAUAUAAAAGUUAAUGUUAUAAAAUUAUUUUUAAUAUUAUAUUAGAAAUGAAAUGUUAUUCGUUUUUAAAGGUAUCUAGUUUUUCAAGAAAUAAAUUUAAUUUAGAAUUUAUAAAUUUAUUUAAAAAAUUAAUUAGUUAAAUAAUUUAUAAGUUUAAUAUUUUAUGGGAUAAGCUAUAAAAUAAAUUUUUAAAAAUAAUAAAUAAAUUAAAAAUAUAUAUGUUUAGAAUUAGCAAUUAUUAAUAAAUAUGUUAUAGUUUAUUUUUUACAAAAAAUUAUUUAUUAUAUUUUAAAUAUUUAUUGAAAUAUUAAUUUUAAUUUUUAAAAUUAAUUAAUAAUGAUAAAAUUAGUAUAUUUUGUUGUAAAAUAAAUUUAAAUGAUAAGUUAAAAUAAAG
This 643-nucleotide ribosomal RNA is filed under the name Drosophila cardini. RNAcentral's name for it is "partial 16S ribosomal RNA". Lineage: Eukaryota; Metazoa; Arthropoda; Insecta; Diptera; Drosophilidae. The record is from RNAcentral.